AAGAUUUCGACAGACAGAAGAGAAGACAACAUGACCAGACAAAUAAAGAUUGCAGUGAUGUAGUCGCAAAUCAAAGAUUUCCAGUGCCACUGGAGGCUGGAAAGAGAGAAGAGGAAUGGAUUCUCCCCUGGACUCUCGGGAAGAAUGUUGUCAUGACGAAAAUCAGAAGAAAAGAAAAUGAAGAGGACAAAUGAAGCCUAGGGCUACAAGUAUUUGAAAAUGUAAAAAAUGUGGCAAGUACGGACUGUGGAGGAAUUCAAGUUUAUAUACAUGGUUGGGAGCAGGAAAUGUGGAGAAUAAAAAUUUCCUGUGCCUUCUGAAAUGCAUCCCCUUUGUCUAAGAUUUUCAAGAUCAGAACUAUUGAGAGGGUCUUGAUAUUUUCAGCUCAUUUUCUUUGGAUGACCACCCUCCCCUCUCACGAGGCCCUUGAGAAGCAAACAGGCACUCUUUCUUUCCAUGCUGAAAUGAAGAAAUGACUGAGUGAGUAUGUAAUGACUCGUGGAAGACCACACAGCAAGUUGGAAGAAGAUUCUGGAUUAGAAGCUUACAAUUUUCAUGUCACCCCCAGGAGUGCAAAACUGGUCCACAAGCAAAGUUUUUUUUAAGACAUAGAGGCCUCAAGAUGCAUGCUGAUCCACAGGUAUGAGAUUUGACUUCAAACUAGGAAUCAGCUCUAGGCAGAGAGACUAGCUAUGAAACACUUUAAUAAAAUAAUUAUCACCUGCUGGGGCAGAGUUAUAACUUGAAAUUGUCUUCCAUGGAUUAUUGUAAUUUAUAGCAUAUUAUAAUUCAGACAGGGUAAAACUCCUAAUUCCCUGGAUGCUAAGGAAACAACAAAUGUAAAAUACAUGUCAUAUAUCAUACAUCACAUAUUUAACAGCAAGAAUCAGAAAAUAACAGAAUCAGUGAUUAUUACACCAUGGGGAACUGUGUUUUCAGGAAGCAAACACCAAACCUGGAAGUCAUUCUGCUUAACAAAGCCAGGUAGUCAGUGUAAGUUACCAUCUUACCAGCAGUAGCUGCAAUGGAAGAAGCUGUUCCCAGGAAAAGGACAAAUAUGGAAAUCAUUUUCAUGGAAUCUUGUAGUUAAGCAGAUCUCUUUAUGCUUCAGCAGUACGUAGAGCCAUUCUGGAGGACACUGGGAAGGAACAUAGCUAGAAUCGGAG
Molecule: long non-coding RNA, 1166 nt
Organism: Heterocephalus glaber (naked mole-rat)
Lineage: Eukaryota; Metazoa; Chordata; Mammalia; Rodentia; Bathyergidae
Source: Ensembl